AUGCUUAAAAUAGAUCUUGCUAAAGCUUUUGAUCAUUUUGAAUGGAAUUUUAUUGUCUCUGCUCUUUCUCGGAAAGUGUUGCAUGGUCAUUUCAUAAAUUUAGUUCAUGCAUGCAUCUCCUCGCCUAUGUUUUUUGUUGUCAUUAAUGGGCAUCCUUCUAAAAAAAUUAACAGUUCUAGGGGUAUCCAUCAAGGUUGUCCUAUGUCUCCUUAUUUAUUUGUUAUUUCUAUCAAUGAACUCUCCAUUGCCCUUAAUGAAGCUCUUGUUGCUCAUCAAUUACAGGGUGUCUCUCUUAGACUAAAUUGCCCCUCCAUUCACUCUGUUUUAUUUGCGGUUGACUUAUUGGUUUGUGGACAUGCCACUUUGCAGGAAGCUCACACCAUGGCUAAUCUUAAACCAAUUUUGUGUUAUUUUUGGUUAAACUCCAAACUGGUCUGA
Molecule: ribosomal RNA, 438 nt
Filed under: Triticum aestivum (bread wheat)
Lineage: Eukaryota; Viridiplantae; Streptophyta; Magnoliopsida; Poales; Poaceae
Description: partial small subunit ribosomal RNA
Source: RNAcentral